This 253-nucleotide ribosomal RNA is filed under the name uncultured bacterium. Its description in RNAcentral is "partial 16S ribosomal RNA". It matches the Rfam family "Archaeal small subunit ribosomal RNA", at positions 474 to 727 of the family's 1478-position model. The record is from RNAcentral.
UACCAGCACCCCGAGUGGUCGGGACGAUUAUUGGGCCUAAAGCAUCCGUAGCCGGUUUUACAAGUCCUCCGUUAAAUCCAACUGCUUAACAGAUGGGCCGCGGAGGAUACUAUAAGACUAGGAGGCAGGAGAGGCAAGCGGUACUCAGUGGGUAGGGGUAAAAUCCGUUGAUCCAUUGAAGACCACCGGUGGCGAAGGCGACAUCCUGGACCGGCAUUGACGCUGAGGCGCGAAAGCCAGGGGAGCAAACGGG